AAUCCAUAGGUUAAUGAGGCGAACCGGGGGAACUGAAACAUCUAAGUACCCCGAGGAAAAGAAAUCAACCGAGAUUCCCCCAGUAGCGGCGAGCGAACGGGGAGGAGCCCAGAGCCUGAAUCAGCAUGUGUGUUAGUGGAAGCGUCUGGAAAGGCGCGCGAUACAGGGUGACAGCCCCGUACACAAAAGCGCAUGUGCUGUGAGCUCGAUGAGUAGGGCGGGACACGUGGUAUCCUGUCUGAAUAUGGGGGGACCAUCCUCCAAGGCUAAAUACUCCUGACUGACCGAUAGUGAACCAGUACCGUGAGGGAAAGGCGAAAAGAACCCCGGCGAGGGGAGUGAAAAAGAACCUGAAACCGUGUACGUACAAGCAGUGGGAGCACAGGUUUACCUGUGUGACUGCGUACCUUUUGUAUAAUGGGUCAGCGACUUAUAUUCUGUAGCAAGGUUAACCGAAUAGGGGAGCCGUAGGGAAACCGAGUCUUAACCGGGCGUUAAGUUGCAGGGUAUAGAC
This 514-nucleotide ribosomal RNA is filed under the name Salmonella enterica subsp. enterica serovar Havana. RNAcentral describes it as "partial 23S ribosomal RNA". It matches the Rfam family "Bacterial large subunit ribosomal RNA", at positions 161 to 714 of the family's 2925-position model. Lineage: Bacteria; Pseudomonadati; Pseudomonadota; Gammaproteobacteria; Enterobacterales; Enterobacteriaceae. The record is from RNAcentral.